This 393-nucleotide ribosomal RNA is filed under the name uncultured bacterium. Its description in RNAcentral is "partial 16S ribosomal RNA". It matches the Rfam family "Bacterial small subunit ribosomal RNA", at positions 523 to 918 of the family's 1533-position model. The record is from RNAcentral.
AUACGGAGGAUGCGAGCGUUAUCCGGAUUUAUUGGGUUUAAAGGGUGCGUAGGCGGCCUUGUAAGUCAGCGGUGAAAUUUUGCAGCUUAACUGUAAAAGUGCCGUUGAUACUGUGAGGCUAGGAUUUGGUUGCUGUGGGUGGAAUGUGUGGUGUAGCGGUGAAAUGCUUAGAGAUCACACAGAAUAUCGAUUGCGAAGGCAGCUCACAAAGCCAAGAUUGACGCUGAGGCACGAAAGUGUGGGGAUCAAACAGGAUUAGAUACCCUGGUAGUCCACACUGUAAACGAUGAUAACUCGCUGUCGGCGAUAUGCAGUCGGUGGCCAAGCGAAAGCGUUAAGUGUCCCACCUGGGGAGUACGCCGGCAACGGUGAAACUUAAAUGAAUUGGCGGGG